This 445-nucleotide ribosomal RNA is filed under the name uncultured bacterium. RNAcentral's name for it is "partial 16S ribosomal RNA". It matches the Rfam family "Bacterial small subunit ribosomal RNA", at positions 354 to 796 of the family's 1533-position model. The record is from RNAcentral.
GUAAGGAAUAUUGGACAAUGGACGCAAGUCUGAUCCAGCCAUGCCGCGUGAAGGAUGAAGGUCCUCCGGAUUGUAAACUUCUUUUAUGUGGGACGAAAGUCAGUUUUUCUAAAUUGUUUGACGGUACCAUAUGAAUAAGCACCGGCUAACUCCGUGCCAGCAGCCGCGGUAAUACGGAGGGUGCAAGCGUUAUCCGGAUUCACUGGGUUUAAAGGGUGCGUAGGCGGGUAUGUAAGUCAGUGGUGAAAUCUCGGAGCUUAACUCCGAAACUGCCAUUGAUACUAUAUAUCUUGAAUCUCCCGGAGGUGAGCGGAAUAUGUCAUGUAGCGGUGAAAUGCUUAGAUAUGACAUAGAACACCGAUUGCGAAGGCAGCUCACUACAGGAAGAUUGACGCUGAGGCACGAAAGCGUGGGGAUCAAACAGGAUUAGAUACCCCAGUAGUCC